GUAUAUGCCAUCAACAGACAUAUCACCUCGCUAAUAGAGAAGAGGGUGCAUGGAAAUGGGUUAUAACAGGUCACUUCUUGCGGCCUCCAUGCUCGUUCUGGUUGUUUCCGCCGCGCUUGGAGGCGAAGCGACAAGGGUUCUCACUUCAACUUAUGAGACAGGAGAAGACAUGGGACGGAACUUGGAGUCGCAGGCCACCCCUGAUUGCCACUAUUCUUGGGCGUGCGGUCCGGUCGGGCCCAAGGUCAGCGGAGCCAACGAGGAAGGCUAGCUCUCAUCGAGCGACAAACUUGGGUUGACUGCUAUGUAAUGGAUAUUGAAUAGAUAUGUCACACAAUAACAAACAUUCUAUCCGCCAAUAUAUAUAUAAAGAGUUACUUUCUUAUCUC
Molecule: long non-coding RNA, 389 nt
Organism: Eucalyptus grandis
Lineage: Eukaryota; Viridiplantae; Streptophyta; Magnoliopsida; Myrtales; Myrtaceae
Exons: 2
Source: RefSeq, a predicted model, not a curated record